RNAcentral lists this ribosomal RNA (1554 nucleotides) under Salmonella enterica. RNAcentral describes it as "bacterial SSU rRNA". It matches the Rfam family "Bacterial small subunit ribosomal RNA". Lineage: Bacteria; Pseudomonadati; Pseudomonadota; Gammaproteobacteria; Enterobacterales; Enterobacteriaceae. RNAcentral also lists the same sequence under 3 other names. The record is from RNAcentral.
AAAUUGAAGAGUUUGAUCAUGGCUCAGAUUGAACGCUGGCGGCAGGCCUAACACAUGCAAGUCGAACGGUAACAGGAAGCAGCUUGCUGCUUUGCUGACGAGUGGCGGACGGGUGAGUAAUGUCUGGGAAACUGCCUGAUGGAGGGGGAUAACUACUGGAAACGGUGGCUAAUACCGCAUAACGUCGCAAGACCAAAGAGGGGGACCUUCGGGCCUCUUGCCAUCAGAUGUGCCCAGAUGGGAUUAGCUUGUUGGUGAGGUAACGGCUCACCAAGGCGACGAUCCCUAGCUGGUCUGAGAGGAUGACCAGCCACACUGGAACUGAGACACGGUCCAGACUCCUACGGGAGGCAGCAGUGGGGAAUAUUGCACAAUGGGCGCAAGCCUGAUGCAGCCAUGCCGCGUGUAUGAAGAAGGCCUUCGGGUUGUAAAGUACUUUCAGCGGGGAGGAAGGUGUUGUGGUUAAUAACCGCAGCAAUUGACGUUACCCGCAGAAGAAGCACCGGCUAACUCCGUGCCAGCAGCCGCGGUAAUACGGAGGGUGCAAGCGUUAAUCGGAAUUACUGGGCGUAAAGCGCACGCAGGCGGUCUGUCAAGUCGGAUGUGAAAUCCCCGGGCUCAACCUGGGAACUGCAUUCGAAACUGGCAGGCUUGAGUCUUGUAGAGGGGGGUGGAAUUCCAGGUGUAGCGGUGAAAUGCGUAGAGAUCUGGAGGAAUACCGGUGGCGAAGGCGGCCCCCUGGACAAAGACUGACGCUCAGGUGCGAAAGCGUGGGGAGCAAACAGGAUUAGAUACCCUGGUAGUCCACGCCGUAAACGAUGUCUACUUGGAGGUUGUGCCCUUGAGGCGUGGCUUCCGGAGCUAACGCGUUAAGUAGACCGCCUGGGGAGUACGGCCGCAAGGUUAAAACUCAAAUGAAUUGACGGGGGCCCGCACAAGCGGUGGAGCAUGUGGUUUAAUUCGAUGCAACGCGAAGAACCUUACCUGGUCUUGACAUCCACGGAAGUUUUCAGAGAUGAGAAUGUGCCUUCGGGAACCGUGAGACAGGUGCUGCAUGGCUGUCGUCAGCUCGUGUUGUGAAAUGUUGGGUUAAGUCCCGCAACGAGCGCAACCCUUAUCCUUUGUUGCCAGCGGUCCGGCCGGGAACUCAAAGGAGACUGCCAGUGAUAAACUGGAGGAAGGUGGGGAUGACGUCAAGUCAUCAUGGCCCUUACGACCAGGGCUACACACGUGCUACAAUGGCGCAUACAAAGAGAAGCGACCUCGCGAGAGCAAGCGGACCUCAUAAAGUGCGUCGUAGUCCGGAUUGGAGUCUGCAACUCGACUCCAUGAAGUCGGAAUCGCUAGUAAUCGUGGAUCAGAAUGCCACGGUGAAUACGUUCCCGGGCCUUGUACACACCGCCCGUCACACCAUGGGAGUGGGUUGCAAAAGAAGUAGGUAGCUUAACCUUCGGGAGGGCGCUUACCACUUUGUGAUUCAUGACUGGGGUGAAGUCGUAACAAGGUAACCGUAGGGGAACCUGCGGUUGGAUCACCUCCUUACCUUAAAGAAGC